GCCAGACUCCUACGGGAGGCAGCAGUGAGGAAUAUUGGUCAAUGGGCUAAGGCCUGAACCAGCCAAGUCGCGUGAGGGAAGACGGUCCUAUGGAUUGUAAACCUCUUUUGUCGGGGAGCAACGAGGCCACGUGUGGCCGAAGUGAGAGUACCCGAAGAAAAAGCAUCGGCUAACUCCGUGCCAGCAGCCGCGGUAAUACGGAGGAUCCGAGCGUUAUCCGGAUUUAUUGGGUUUAAAGGGAGCGUAGGUGGAUUGUUAAGUCAGUUGUGAAAGUUUGCGGCUCAACCGUAAAAUUGCAGUUGAAACUGGCAGUCUUGAGUACAGUAGAGGUGGGCGGAAUUCGUGGUGUAGCGGUGAAAUGCUUAGAUAUCACGAAGAACUCCGAUUGCGAAGGCAGUUCACUGGACUGCAACUGACACUGAGGCCCGAAAGUGUGGGUAUCAAACAGGAUUAGAUACCCCCGUAUA
Molecule: ribosomal RNA, 467 nt
Filed under: uncultured bacterium
Lineage: Bacteria
Description: bacterial SSU rRNA
Rfam family: Bacterial small subunit ribosomal RNA
Source: RNAcentral